AACACAUGCAAGUCGAGCGGUAAGGCCCUUCGGGGUACACGAGCGGCGAACGGGUGAGUAACACGUGAGCAACCUGCCCCUGACUCUGGGAUAAGCGGUGGAAACGCCGUCUAAUACCGGAUACGACCCGCCACCUCAUGGUGGAGGGUGGAAAGUUUUUCGGUCAGGGAUGGGCUCGCGGCCUAUCAGCUUGUUGGUGGGGUAACGGCCUACCAAGGCGAUUACGGGUAGCCGGCCUGAGAGGGCGACCGGCCACACUGGGACUGAGACACGGCCCAGACUCCUGCGGGAGGCAGCAGUGGGGAAUAUUGCGCAAUGGGCGAAAGCCUGACGCAGCGACGCCGCGUGGGGGAUGACGGCCUUCGGGUUGUAAACCUCUUUUACCACCAACGCAGGCUUCCAGUUCUCUGGAGGUUGACGGUAGGUGGGGAAUAAGGACCGGCUAACUACGUGCCAGCAGCCGCGGUAAUACGUAGGGUCCGAGCGUUGUCCGGAAUUAUUGGGCGUAAAGAGCUCGUAGGCGGCGUGUCGCGUCUGCUGUGAAAGACCGGGGCUUAACUCCGGUUCUGCAGUGGAUACGGGCAUGCUAGAGGUAGGUAGGGGAGACUGGAAUUCCUGGUGUAGCGGUGAAAUGCGCAGAUAUCAGGAGGAACACCGGUGGCGAAGGCGGGUCUCUGGGCCUUACCUGACGCUGAGGAGCGAAAGCAUGGGGAGCGAACAGGAUUAGAUACCCUGGUAGUCCAUGCCGUAAACGUUGGGCGCUAGGU
Molecule: ribosomal RNA, 767 nt
Filed under: Nocardiopsis dassonvillei
Lineage: Bacteria; Bacillati; Actinomycetota; Actinomycetes; Streptosporangiales; Nocardiopsidaceae
Description: bacterial SSU rRNA
Rfam family: Bacterial small subunit ribosomal RNA
Source: RNAcentral